CUUGCCUUAGACACCAAUUGGAUAAUUGAUCUGAAUAGGUUAGCUUAGGUGAAUUAGACUCGAGCCACAGAGCCAAAUUAGGUUCUUGAAUUUAAUCGAUUCUACAUUUAGGUGUCAAUCGAAUUGAUCAACAAUAAUUGUAUGAUCUUAGGCUCUAUUGACCUUUUCUUAAUCAACACUUGACGUGAUUUGAUCAACUACUAAAUCAAUUCUAACCCAAUGUGAUCAAAUCAGAAAUCCUUUGAGGUAAUCUAAUUACAUAACCUAAUUUGAUCUACCCA
RNAcentral lists this long non-coding RNA (281 nucleotides) under Elaeis guineensis (African oil palm). RNAcentral describes it as "long non-coding RNA (EGUI_LNC043391)". The record is from RNAcentral. Lineage: Eukaryota; Viridiplantae; Streptophyta; Magnoliopsida; Arecales; Arecaceae.